UGGAAUUAAAUAUAUUAAUUUAAUAAACUAUCAAGUUCCAUAAUUAAAUAUUUACUAUGAAUUUGAUACACCAUCAAUUUAUAACUUGAUUACUUGAAUUUAAUAUAUGUGAUAAAUUAAUUAAUUUAAUAUGAUAAUUCAUAUAGAUUAAUUCAUGUGAAAAAAUGUAAAAUAAAAUAUGGAUAAAAACAAUUAUGCAUAAAAAUGUCUGAGAACGGAGAAAGGGAAGACUUGAUCGGAGAUCGGAAUACCAAAAAAGUUCAUUUUAAGGACUUGGAUUCUGGUGUGGAAAAUGAUAUGGUUGUGGACUCUACUCCGACGCUGGAAAUCUCUUGGAGGGACAAAGUUCUGGGUCGAGGGGCUCCUGACUCUGGUAGAGACGAGGAUUUUGAAUUUCUAGAUGGAAAUGUGGUGAGAACUACGGUUAAUGGUGUUUCCGCUAUCAACUUUUCCGAGAGGAUCCAACGAAUUCUCUUCCGAAAUAUGGCGACCACGGUGGUUGUUAAAUUACUUGGCCGGAAAAUUUCUUACUCUAUUUUGCAUAAUAGGAUCCACAGUCUCUAGAAGCCUUCACAACAGAUUCACAUAAUGGAUGUGGAAAAUUGUUAUUUCCUGAUAAAAUUUCAAAGUCAUGACGAUUAUGAGAGGGUGCUUACCCAGGGUCCAUGGAUUGUCCUUGGCCAAUAUCCCACGGUUCAACCGUGGACUCCAGAGUUUAAUCCUCUCCAAGCAUUUCCUAGUAGCACCAUGGUUUGGGUCAGAUUACCGGGUCUCUCGGGGUUCCUCUAUAAGCGCCAAAUAUUAGAAGAAAUCAGAGGUCUGAUUGGGACGGUCACCAAGCUCGAUUUUCAAACGGACAAAGGGUCGAGGGGAAAUUUUGAAAGAACGGUCGUGUGCAUUGAUUUGAUAAAGCCUUUGGUAUCUCAGAUCUUGAUUAACAGGGCGGUGCAGAGGGUUCAGUUUGAAGCGUUGCCAUUCGUGUGUUUCCCUUGUGGAAGAUUCGGUCAUUCAAAGGCCACGUGCGUAGAAAUGGGGUAUUCACAAAAUGCUGACGAUGGAAUGAACACAGCGAUGGAAAGCUUACUGGAGGUGGUCAAAGCGGUGGAGCCAUUGGAGCGGUUUGGUCCCUGGAUGAUCGUUGAGAGGAAGUCACGGCGUAAUUCUAGGGCUCGCAUUAAUACUGAAACGAAAAUUGCCAUGAAUAACGCUCUGAAUCUGUUUGGGAUUGAAAAGGCUGAGAUUAGGGAAAAAGAAGCAGAUGUUUCGGGGAUAACAUUUCAAAAAGGGGAAUUUCUCAAAGGGAUCAAUCAAAGGAGCGCUUCUACGGAUAAGGGAAAUACUGGGUUAAUAACCAAAACGGCAAAUAUCUUUAGCGUGUUGGGAAAAGCAGAUGUGGACGGGCUGGACUUUUUGAUGGAAAUAGAAGGCCAGGUGGAUAGCGGGCUUAUGGUGGAGGGUCCGGGUAUGCCUAUUGAGUCACUAGUGGACCCAAAAGGUUUUGGGAAAAAACAGCUGAUAUUAAUGUGC
RNAcentral lists this long non-coding RNA (1527 nucleotides) under Gossypium raimondii (Peruvian cotton). RNAcentral's name for it is "long non-coding RNA (GRAI_LNC010699)". Lineage: Eukaryota; Viridiplantae; Streptophyta; Magnoliopsida; Malvales; Malvaceae. The record is from RNAcentral.